GUCUUGCCGCCGCGGUGCCUGCGGAUCCAGAAGAGCCCGCACAGGGCGAUGAGCACCCAGCUGAAGCUCAGCCCCAGGCCUGUCCUAGGAAGCGCGGGUUUGCCCCGCACGGCGGGAUCCGGGCCAGGAAGAGACUUUUGCCGCCUCUCGCCUAGCUCUCCUCAGUGCCACUGGGACCCCCUUCGCCUCGAACCCAACUUCACCUGGGGGCAGCCAGCCCAACCGCCCGCAGCGAGCACAGACCACCACAGGAACGAGAGGGCAACGUGCUGCGGGAAGAGGGAGUGCGGCUCCGGGGGUCGCGGCAAGGAAACGGGCUCUUGCGGCUGGCACGAAGUUCGCUGAGGCGCUGGGGAGCGGAAACAUGCUAGGGUGUGCAUCCCCAGGGGGAAAGCGCACCAACUGCCCGUUCUUUUCGGUCCUGUACGCGGUUGAAACGUUCCUACCCGUUACACCCUUCACUAACAAGCUUCGGGUUUUUCUUUGUUCCCGGUUGAGGGAUACUAUUAAAGGUCCGACUGAUCAAUG
Molecule: long non-coding RNA, 528 nt
Organism: Strigops habroptila (Kakapo)
Lineage: Eukaryota; Metazoa; Chordata; Aves; Psittaciformes; Psittacidae
Exons: 2
Source: RefSeq, a predicted model, not a curated record